Molecule: non-coding RNA, 109 nt
Organism: Cricetulus griseus (Chinese hamster)
Lineage: Eukaryota; Metazoa; Chordata; Mammalia; Rodentia; Cricetidae
Source: Rfam
GUCUAUGGUCAUACCUCCCUGAACAUGCCCGAUCUCCUCUGACCUCGGAAGCUAAGCAGGGUCGGAUCUGGUUAGUAUUGGACGGAAGACAAGUCACAGGCAAUAGAAC